GACGAACGCUGGCGGCAUGCCUAAUACAUGCAAGUCGAGCGAACAGAUGAAGUGCUUGCACUUCUGACGUUAGCGGCGAACGGGUGAGUAACACGUAAGGAAUCUACCUAUAAGCGGGGGAUAACAUUCGGAAACGGGUGCUAAUACCGCAUAAUAUCUUCUUCCGCAUGGAAGAAGAUUGAAAGACGGCUCUGCUGUCACUUAUAGAUGACCUUGCGGUGCGUUAGUUAGUUGGUGGGGUAAAGGCCUACCAAGACGAUGAUGCAUAGCCGACCUGAGAGGGUGAUCGGCCACAUUGGGACUGAGACACGGCCCAAACUCCUACGGGAGGCAGCAGUAGGGAAUCUUCCGCAAUGGGCGAAAGCCUGGCGGAGCAAUGCCGCGUGAGUGAAGAAGGCCUUCGGGUCGUAAAACUCUGUUAUAAGAGAAGAACAAAUUGUAGAGUAACUGCUACAGUCUUGACGGUAUCUUAUCAGAAAGCCACGGCUAACUACGUGCCAGCCGCCGCAGUAA
RNAcentral lists this ribosomal RNA (513 nucleotides) under uncultured bacterium. RNAcentral describes it as "partial 16S ribosomal RNA". It matches the Rfam family "Bacterial small subunit ribosomal RNA", at positions 28 to 523 of the family's 1533-position model. The record is from RNAcentral.